GUUUGAUCCUGGCUCAGGACGAACGCUGGCGGCGUGCCUAAUACAUGCAAGUAGAACGCUGAAGAGAGGAGCUUGCUCUUCUUGGAUGAGUUGCGAACGGGUGAGUAACGCGUAGGUAACCUGCCUUGUAGCGGGGGAUAACUAUUGGAAACGAUAGCUAAUACCGCAUAACAAUGGGUGACACAUGUCAUUUAUUUGAAAGGGGCAAUUGCUCCACUACAAGAUGGACCUGCGUUGUAUUAGCUAGUAGGUGAGGUAACGGCUCACCUAGGCGACGAUACAUAGCCGACCUGAGAGGGUGAUCGGCCACACUGGGACUGAGACACGGCCCAGACUCCUACGGGAGGCAGCAGUAGGGAAUCUUCGGCAAUGGGGGCAACCCUGACCGAGCAACGCCGCGUGAGUGAAGAAGGUUUUCGGAUCGUAAAGCUCUGUUGUAAGUCAAGAACGAGUGUGAGAGUGGAAAGUUCACACUGUGACGGUAGCUUACCAGAAAGGGACGGCUAACUACGUGCCAGCAGCCGCGGUAAUACGUAGGUCCCGAGCGUUGUCCGGAUUUAUUGGGCGUAAAGCGAGCGCAGGCGGUUUGAUAAGUCUGAAGUUAAAGGCUGUGGCUCAACCAUAGUUCGCUUUGGAAACUGUCAAACUG
This 649-nucleotide ribosomal RNA is filed under the name uncultured bacterium. Its description in RNAcentral is "bacterial SSU rRNA". It matches the Rfam family "Bacterial small subunit ribosomal RNA", at positions 11 to 643 of the family's 1533-position model. The record is from RNAcentral.